AUGAACGGCCUGCGCCGCGCGCUGGAGCGCGCGCCCCCCGCCGCCGCGGACGAGGCCGGCCUCUGGUACGGCCGCCGGAAGGCGCUCGAGCAGCGCACCCCGCUCAUGGUCGCCGCCACCUACGGCAGCCUCGCCGCGCUCCGCCUGCUGCUGUCCCUCCCCUCCGUCGACGUCAACCGCCGCUGCGGCCCCGACGGCACCACCGCCCUUCACUGCGCCGCGUCUGGUGGCUCGUCCUCGGCCGUCGAGGCCGUCAGGCUGCUCCUGGUGGCCGGGGCUGACGCCGAUGCCACAGAUGCGUCCGGGUGCCGUCCGGCUGAUGUGAUCUCUGUGCCGCCAAAGAUGAUUGAUGCAAAGAUCGCCCUCCAAGAUCUGCUUGGGCUCCCAAAGUCUGGACAUGGCUUGCUCCGGGUGGUGACAAGGGCCACAAACCUGACCUCGUCGCCGGUGUCAUCUCCCACCGCCGAGGACGCUCGGUCUCCAUCAGCUGCCGUGAUGAUGAUGUCAAAGUUCCCAGACCUGCCGAGGGUUGCGACCUCAGAGAAGAAGGAAUACCCAGUGGAUCCAUCCCUGCCGGAUAUCAAGAACAGCAUCUAUGCCUCUGAUGAGUUCCGCAUGUACUCCUUCAAGAUCAGGCCGUGCUCCCGGGCGUACUCACAUGACUGGACCGAGUGCCCCUUUGUGCACCCUGGGGAGAACGCUCGGCGCCGCGAUCCGCGCAAGUAUCACUACAGUUGUGUUCCAUGCCCUGAUUUCAGAAAAGGUGUGUGCCGGCGUGGAGACAUGUGUGAGUAUGCUCAUGGGGUGUUUGAGUGCUGGCUCCACCCAGCGCAAUACCGCACUCGCCUUUGCAAGGAUGGCACCGGCUGCAAUCGCCGCGUCUGUUUCUUCGCGCACACCACCGAUGAGCUCCGCCCACUGUAUGUCUCCACUGGGUCCGCAGUGCCAUCCCCUAGGGCCUCAGCAACGGCUGCAAUGGAGAUGGCAGCAGCAAUGGGCUUGAUGCCUGGUUCUCCGUCAUCGGUCUCGGCAGUCAUGUCCCCAUUUACCCCACCAAGGUCUCCUUCUGGGAAUGGGAUGCCCCCUUCUUUGGGCUGGCAGCAACCAAAUGUUCCGACGCUACACCUUCCGGGCAGCAGCCUUCAGUCAAGCAGACUCCGAAGCUCACUUAAUGCAAGGGAUAUGCCUAUGGAUGACUACUCCCUGUUGCAGGAUAUUGAUUCCCAGCUUAUAAACGAUCUGUGCUACUCGCGUCUUGGUUCAUCAGCAGGAGGGAACCAUAGUUCUCGGACCAAGAGUCUGAACCCUUCAAACCUGGAUGAUCUCUUUUCUGCUGAGAUGGUCUCAUCCCCAAGGUACAACAAUGCUGAUCAAGGUGCUAUGUUUUCACCUUCCCAGAAGGCUGCCAUCCUUAAUCAGUUCCAGCAACAGCAGCAGCUUCUUUCGCCGAUCAACACAGGGUUCUCACCAAAGGCUGUGGACAACCAGCAGUUGCAUUCACGCUCAUCCCUACUGCAAGCAUCACUUGGGAUAUCCUCCCCUGGCCGGAUGUCCCCCCGUUGCGUCGAAUCUGGGUCGCCAAUGAACUCCCACCUAGCCGCCGCCCUUGCCCAGCGUGAGAAGCAACAGCAGCAGCAGCACCAACAGCACCAGCAGACAAUGAGGAGCCUCAGUUCUCGUGAUCUCGGGCCUAGUGCUGCAAGAGCAUCGGCUGCUGUUGGCUCUCCUCUGAGCUCAUCAUGGUCCAAGUGGGGGUCUCCUUCAGGGGCACCGGACUGGGGCGUCAACGGUGAAGAAUUGGGUAAGCUUCGCCGGUCAUCUUCCUUUGAGCUGAGAUCAGGCGGCGAUGACCCAGAUCUCUCCUGGGUGCACACACUGGUUAAGGAGUCUCCACCAGAGAAGCAGGUCACCACAGCUGAAUCCAUCAACAACUCUGUCAGACCUUCACCUCAAAUGCAUCCCAGUGUAAGUAACGGUGAAGGCUCUAGUGUGAGCACGCAGCUGAACCGACAUGACCAAGCCGCAGUUAUCGGAGCGCUGCUCGAGCAGAUGCAGCUUGACGAGCAGAUUGGUAGUCUAGCAGCAACAUAG
Molecule: ribosomal RNA, 2091 nt
Filed under: Triticum aestivum (bread wheat)
Lineage: Eukaryota; Viridiplantae; Streptophyta; Magnoliopsida; Poales; Poaceae
Description: partial small subunit ribosomal RNA
Source: RNAcentral